AGAGCGAACGCUGGCGGCAGGCCUAAUACAUGCAAGUCGAGCGGCCCUUCGGGGCAGCGGCGGACGGGUGAGUAACGCGUGGGAAUGUGCCCUUUGGUACGGAACAACUGAGGGAAACUUCAGCUAAUACCGUAUGUGCCCUUCGGGGGAAAGAUUUAUUGCCAUUGGAGCAGCCCGCGUUGGAUUAGCUAGUUGGUGGGGUAAAGGCCCACCAAGGCGACGAUCCAUAGCUGGUCUGAGAGGAUGAUCAGCCACACUGGGACUGAGACACGGCCCAGACUCCUACGGGAGGCAGCAGUAGGGAAUCUUGCGCAAUGGGCGAAAGCCUGACGCAGCCAUGCCGCGUGAAUGAUGAAGGUCUUAGGAUUGUAAAAUUCUUUCACCGGGAAGAUAAUGACGGUACCCGGAGAAGAAGCCCGGCUAACUUCGUGCCAGCCAGCCGC
RNAcentral lists this ribosomal RNA (443 nucleotides) under uncultured soil bacterium. RNAcentral's name for it is "bacterial SSU rRNA". It matches the Rfam family "Bacterial small subunit ribosomal RNA", at positions 26 to 518 of the family's 1533-position model. The record is from RNAcentral.